AAGCCUGAGGUAUUUAAUACAUAGGUUUUCUGAUACAAACACAAGAACAUAUAAACCGCAUGCGUGGACGUAACGAAUUCAAAAAUCUAUUUACCUGCAUCCAGAUAAACAUUAGAACAAUAUCAAUAUGUAUAAAUCAACCCAGUAAAAAACCAGGACAAUCAAACAUAAUAAACAAUUAAAAGAUUCCUGAAAAAUGUGCGAGCUAUCACAGGUUAGACGGCUACAGACAGCAACAUGUCGGUCUAUAUGACAAUAUAACAGGACAGCAAAACGUAUCUGAAUUGUAU
This 290-nucleotide long non-coding RNA is filed under the name Mytilus galloprovincialis (Mediterranean mussel). Lineage: Eukaryota; Metazoa; Mollusca; Bivalvia; Mytilida; Mytilidae. The record is from RNAcentral.